Molecule: ribosomal RNA, 350 nt
Filed under: uncultured bacterium
Lineage: Bacteria
Description: bacterial SSU rRNA
Rfam family: Bacterial small subunit ribosomal RNA
Source: RNAcentral
GGGCCCGCACAAGCGGUGGAGUAUGUGGUUUAAUUCGAUGCAACGCGAAGAACCUUACCAGGGUUUGACAUCCUGCGAAUCUCUUGGAAACGAGAGAGUGCCUUCGGGAACGCAGUGACAGGUGGUGCAUGGCUGUCGUCAGCUCGUGUCGUGAGAUGUUGGGUUAAGUCCCGCAACGAGCGCAACCCACGUCUUUAGUUGCCAGCACGUCAUGGUGGGAACUCUAGGGAGACUGCCGGUGACAAACCGGAGGAAGGUGGGGACGACGUCAGGUCAUCAUGGCCCUUACGACCUGGCUACACACGUGCUACAAUGGCUGGUACAGAGGGUUGCGAAGUCGCGAGGCGAAG